RNAcentral lists this transfer RNA (75 nucleotides) under Oncorhynchus mykiss (rainbow trout). It matches the Rfam family "tRNA". Rfam says of the family: Transfer RNA (tRNA) molecules are approximately 80 nucleotides in length. Their secondary structure includes four short double-helical elements and three loops (D, anti-codon, and T loops). Further hydrogen bonds mediate the characteristic L-shaped molecular structure. tRNAs have two regions of fundamental functional importance: the anti-codon, which is responsible for specific mRNA codon recognition, and the 3' end, to which the tRNAs corresponding amino acid is attached (by aminoacyl-tRNA synthetases). tRNAs cope with the degeneracy of the genetic code in two manners: having more than one tRNA (with a specific anti-codon) for a particular amino acid; and 'wobble' base-pairing, i.e. permitting non-standard base-pairing at the 3rd anti-codon position. The record is from Rfam by way of RNAcentral. RNAcentral also lists the same sequence under 2 other names. Lineage: Eukaryota; Metazoa; Chordata; Actinopteri; Salmoniformes; Salmonidae.
GGUCCUGUGCGGCUUAGUAAGUAGAGCAUGGCACUUGCAAUGCUAGGGUCGUGGGUUUGAAUCCCGCUGGGGCCA